AGCGAACGCUGGCGGCAGGCUUAACACAUGCAAGUCGAACGGGCAUCUUCGGAUGUCAGUGGCAGACGGGUGAGUAACACGUGGGAACGUACCCUUCGGUUCGGAAUAACUCAGGGAAACUUGAGCUAAUACCGGAUACGCCCUUUUGGGGAAAGGUUUACUGCCGAAGGAUCGGCCCGCGUCUGAUUAGCUUGUUGGUGGGGUAACGGCCUACCAAGGCGACGAUCAGUAGCUGGUCUGAGAGGAUGAUCAGCCACACUGGGACUGAGACACGGCCCAGACUCCUACGGGAGGCAGCAGUGGGGAAUAUUGGACAAUGGGCGCAAGCCUGAUCCAGCCAUGCCGCGUGAGUGAUGAAGGCCUUAGGGUUGUAAAGCUCUUUUGUCCGGGACGAUAAUGACGGUACCGGAAGAAUAAGCCCCUGCUAACUUCGUG
This 435-nucleotide ribosomal RNA is filed under the name uncultured bacterium. RNAcentral's name for it is "partial 16S ribosomal RNA". It matches the Rfam family "Bacterial small subunit ribosomal RNA", at positions 29 to 507 of the family's 1533-position model. The record is from RNAcentral.